This 311-nucleotide long non-coding RNA is filed under the name Brassica napus (rape). Its description in RNAcentral is "long non-coding RNA (BNAP_LNC018981)". The record is from RNAcentral. Lineage: Eukaryota; Viridiplantae; Streptophyta; Magnoliopsida; Brassicales; Brassicaceae.
AAAAAAACUGAGAAGAUUCCACAACAGCUCAAGGGUUAGCGAAUUAUUUUUUGCAUAAAACAUUUAUUUUGUUCUCAAGUGCGACUUACUUUUAUGUUCUCGUACAGGGAAAAGGGACGCGUCAGAAGUAUUUGACUCUUUUUACUGCAAAUUGUUAAAUAAGAAUUCCAAAUCUCCAGAUUAUGAUUCCGUUCUUAGCCUAAGAUUUUGAUUAUUUUGGUUUAAAGCAUACACGUAAAUUUGUUGAAUGGCUAUUAAAACGGAAAUCAAUUUAGGUUAACUGAAUGUUGGAAUAUUCAUGGCACGGAGGC